UGGGGAAUUUUGGACAAUGGGCGAAAGCCUGAUCCAGCAAUGCCGCGUGUGUGAAGAAGGCCUUCGGGUUGUAAAGCACUUUUGUCCGGAAAGAAAUGGCUCUGGUUAAUACCUGGGGUCGAUGACGGUACCGGAAGAAUAAGGACCGGCUAACUACGUGCCAGCAGCCGCGGUAAUACGUAGGGUCCGAGCGUUAAUCGGAAUUACUGGGCGUAAAGCGUGCGCAGGCGGUUGUGCAAGACCGAUGUGAAAUCCGCGAGCUUAACUUGGGGAUUGCAUUGGUGACUGCACGGCUAGAGUGUGUCAGAGGGGGGUAGAAUUCCACGUGUAGCAGUGAAAUGCGUAGAGAUGUGGAGGAAUUCCGAUGGCGAAGGCAGCCCCCUGGGAUAACACUGACGCUCAUGCACGAAAGCGUGGGGAGCAAACAGG
RNAcentral lists this ribosomal RNA (429 nucleotides) under Bacillota bacterium. RNAcentral describes it as "Firmicutes bacterium partial 16S ribosomal RNA". It matches the Rfam family "Bacterial small subunit ribosomal RNA", at positions 355 to 776 of the family's 1533-position model. The record is from RNAcentral. Lineage: Bacteria; Bacillati; Bacillota.